Molecule: ribosomal RNA, 253 nt
Filed under: uncultured bacterium
Lineage: Bacteria
Description: partial 16S ribosomal RNA
Rfam family: Bacterial small subunit ribosomal RNA
Source: RNAcentral
UACGUAGGGACCAAGCGUUGUUCGGAUUUACUGGGCGUAAAGGGCGCGUAGGCGGCGUGGUAAGUCACUUGUGAAAUCUCUGAGCUUAACUCAGAACGGCCAAGUGAUACUGCUGUGCUAGAGUGCAGAAGGGGCAAUCGGAAUUCUUGGUGUAGCGGUGAAAUGCGUAGAUAUCAAGAGGAGCACCUGAGGUGAAGACGGGUUGCUGGGCUGACACUGACGCUGAUGCGCGAAAGCCAGGGGAGCAAACGGG